ACUCCUACGGGAGGCAGCAGUGGGGAAUAUUGGACAAUGGGCGAAAGCCUGAUCCAGCCAUGCCGCGUGUGUGAAGAAGGCCCUCGGGUUGUAAAGCACUUUCAGUGAGGAAGAACGCUUGUGGGUUAAUACCCUGCAAGAGAGACAUCACUCACAGAAGAAGCACCGGCUAACUCCGUGCCAGCAGCCGCGGUAAUACGGAGGGUGCGAGCGUUAAUCGGAAUUACUGGGCGUAAAGCGCGCGUAGGCGGCUUGAUAAGCCGGUUGUGAAAGCCCGGCUGCAACCUGGGAACGGCAUCCGGAACUGUCAGGCUAGAGUGCAGGAGAGGAAGGUAGAAUUCCCGGUGUAGCGGUGAAAUGCGUAGAGAUCGGGAGGAAUACCAGUGGCGAAGGCGGCCUUCUGGACUGACACUGACGCUGAGGUGCGAAAGCGUGGGUAGCAAACAGGAUUAGAUACCCUGGUAGACUGUCAU
Molecule: ribosomal RNA, 473 nt
Filed under: uncultured bacterium
Lineage: Bacteria
Description: bacterial SSU rRNA
Rfam family: Bacterial small subunit ribosomal RNA
Source: RNAcentral